UACAGAGGUCCCAAGCGUUGUUCGGAUUCACUGGGCGUAAAGGGUGCGUAGGUGGUGGGGUAAGUCUGAUGUGAAAUCUCCGAGCUCAACUCGGAAAUGGCAUUGGAAACUACUCUGCUCGAGGGUUGGAGGGGGGACUGGAAUACUUGGUGUAGCAGUGAAAUGCGCAGAUAUCAAGUGGAACACCAGUGGCGAAGGCGAGUCCCUGGACAACUCCUGACACUGAGGCACGAAAGCUAGGGGAGCAAACAGG
RNAcentral lists this ribosomal RNA (253 nucleotides) under uncultured bacterium. Its description in RNAcentral is "partial 16S ribosomal RNA". It matches the Rfam family "Bacterial small subunit ribosomal RNA", at positions 524 to 776 of the family's 1533-position model. The record is from RNAcentral.